This 468-nucleotide ribosomal RNA is filed under the name uncultured bacterium. RNAcentral's name for it is "partial 16S ribosomal RNA". It matches the Rfam family "Bacterial small subunit ribosomal RNA", at positions 28 to 507 of the family's 1533-position model. The record is from RNAcentral.
GAUGAACGCUGACAGAAUGCUUAACACAUGCAAGUCUACUUGAAUUUGGGUUUUUUAACUUAGAUUUGGGUGGCGGACGGGUGAGUAACGCGUAAAGAACUUGCCUCACAGCUAGGGACAACAUUUGGAAACGAAUGCUAAUACCUGAUAUUAUGAUUAUAAGGCAUCUUAGAAUUAUGAAAGCUAUAUGCGCUGUGAGAGAGCUUUGCGUCCCAUUAGCUAGUUGGAGAGGUAACGGCUCACCAAGGCGAUGAGGGGUAGCCGGCCUGAGAGGGUGAACGGCCACAAGGGGACUGAGACACGGCCCUUACUCCUACGGGAGGCAGCAGUGGGGAAUAUUGGACAAUGGACCAAGAGUCUGAUCCAGCAAUUCUGUGUGCACGAUGACGUUUUUCGGAAUGUAAAGUGCUUUCAGUUGGGAAGAAAAAAAUGACGGUACCAACAGAAGAAGUGACGGCUAAAUACGUG